RNAcentral lists this ribosomal RNA (325 nucleotides) under uncultured eukaryote. Its description in RNAcentral is "partial 18S ribosomal RNA". It matches the Rfam family "Eukaryotic small subunit ribosomal RNA", at positions 1470 to 1796 of the family's 1831-position model. The record is from RNAcentral.
CCCUUAGAUGUUCUGGGCCGCACACGCGCUACACUGAAGGAGGCAGCGUGUACUCCUGGAUCGAAAGAUUUGGGUAACCCGCGAAUCUCCUUCGUGCUAGGGAUUGAGGUUUGCAAUUAUCCUUCAUGAACGAGGAAUUCCCAGUAAGUGCAAGUCAUAAGCUUGCGCUGACUACGUCCCUGCCCUUUGUACACACCGCCCGUCGCUACUACCGAUUGAACGUUUUAGUGAGGUAUUUGGACUGGACCUUUGAAGGUUAAUUCCUUCAUUGUUGUUCGGGAAGACUCCCAAACUUGAGCGUUUAGAGGAAGUAAAAGUCGUAACA